UUGGUAAGGUAACGGCUUACCAAGGCGACGAUGGGUAGGGGUCCUGAGAGGGAGAUCCCCCACACUGGUACUGAGACACGGACCAGAUUCCUACGGGAGGCAGCAGUGAGGAAUAUUGGUCAAUGGGCGCAAGCCUGAACCAGCCAUGCCGCGUGCAGGAUGACGGUCCUAUGGAUUGUAAACUGCUUUUGUACGGGAAGAAACACUGAUUCGUGAAUCAGCCUGACGGUACCGUAAGAAUAAGGAUCGGCUAACUCCGUGCCAGCAGCCGCGGUAAUACGGAGGAUCCAAGCGUUAUCCGGAAUCAUUGGGUUUAAAGGGUCUGUAGGCGGUCUUGUAAGUCAGUGGUGAAAGCCCAUCGCUCAACGGUGGAACGGCCAUUGAUACUGCAGGACUUGAAUUACCGGGAAGUAACUAGAAUAUGUAGUGUAGCGGUGAAAUGCUUAGAUAUUACAUGGAAUACCAAUUGCGAAGGCAGGUUACUACCGGUGGAUUGACGCUGAUGGACGAAAGCGUGGGGAGCGAACAGGAUUAGAUACCCUGGUAGUCCACGCCGUAAACGAUGGAUACUAGCUGCUGGGGGCGACUUCAGUGGCUAAGCGAAAGUGAUAAGUAUCCCACCUGGGGAGUACGAACGCAAGUUUGAAACUCAAAGGAAUUGACGGGGGCCCGCACAAGCGGUGGAGCAUGUGGUUUAAUUCGAUGAUACGCGAGGAACCUUACCAAGGCUUAAAUGCAGACUGACCGGUUUGGAAACAGACCUUUCGCAAGACAGUCUACAAGGUGCUGCAUGGUUGUCGUCAGCUCGUGCCGUGAGGUGUCAGGUUAAGUCCUAUAACGAGCGCAACCCCUGUUGUUAGUUGCCAGCGAGUCAGGUCGGGAACUCUAACAAGACUGCCAGUGCAAACUGUGAGGAAGGUGGGGAUGACGUCAAAUCAUCACGGCCCUUACGCCUUGGGCUACACACGUGCUACAAUGGCCGGUACAGAGAGCAGCCACUGGGCGACCAGGAGCGAAUCUAUAAAGCCGGUCACAGUUAGGAUCGGAGUGUGCA
Molecule: ribosomal RNA, 1054 nt
Filed under: Flavobacterium sp.
Lineage: Bacteria; Pseudomonadati; Bacteroidota; Flavobacteriia; Flavobacteriales; Flavobacteriaceae
Description: bacterial SSU rRNA
Rfam family: Bacterial small subunit ribosomal RNA
Source: RNAcentral